UCCCUGGAUUUAAAAUCAUAAGCUUGAGUGAAAGACAACACCGGUUGAGUCCUCCAACUCUAGCAUAAAGCCGCAUUGGACGCGUGCGCGGAGAUAUGCAGAGGCUGUUUUGGUCAUUCCUGGGUCCAGAAAGCGUGCUGGGUCCUGACAUGGUUUCUAUAGGUCCGCCCACAAUGUAAAGCUACAUGUAUGGUCAUUUAACGUGCCAGGUAAUGCUGGUGGAGGAAAGCCGGAAUACCCGAAGAAAAAUCACCGACCUGCGGACAGUAUCCGAAUGGUUCCGCAAGAUAUGGUUCCUUGUUAGGAAUGGAUGAUUCAUCGAAGUAAUACAAAUGUAUUCACGCCAGAUAAAGAAACGUGUUCAUUGAGCUGUUACAGUUUUUGACCGUAGUACUGAGAUCCUUAAAAAGGUGACACCCUAGGCCUUGUCCGUUCGAUGGAGACCUCACAACACGGUAUAAAAACAGAACUGCAAAUAUAUUUAUACACACUUGUAAGGUUGUACUUGACCAUGAGUGGGUUACCCUUUGGCCGACUAUAUACCGAUCCUUAACGCUAUUCUUGUUCACCUGUCUCUAUUUACUUGACUCCAAUACAUGACGACCACAGUGUUGAUACUGUUUUGUUCACCUGAAAGCCGUCAAAUCUGUCACGCUACGGUACCGGUACACCCGGUGCUCCCAUCGAUUUCAACACUCGUGUAUGGUGGACGGCUAUACUGGACAUUUCUCAUGUGUAAAUUCCGUUCUUGCAAUAUGCAUUUACCCAUAGAAAAAGGAAGAUGGUUAGGUAUUCCUCGUCAAGAAAGAACCUGUACAUUAUGUAAUUUGUACAUUGGAGAUGA
This is a long non-coding RNA of Mizuhopecten yessoensis (Yesso scallop), 844 nucleotides long. RefSeq lists it as uncharacterized. The transcript is spliced from 3 exons. The record is from RefSeq and is a predicted model, not a curated record. Lineage: Eukaryota; Metazoa; Mollusca; Bivalvia; Pectinida; Pectinidae.